UUCCUGGUAUGUCAGGUUUUUUUUUUUUUUUUUUUUUUUUUUAGUUAUUUAACACAGCUUGAAUUAUCCUCAACCACUCCUUCAUAAAUUGGUUAGCAUGAAUAUGUGUCCCAGUCUGGGCUUCUCACUCCAGUUUACAUCUCAAUACAUAUGCUGCUGAUGUUUCAUCUGCCUUAGGGGUGGACUUAAUGUUAUGAAUAGCACCAGGUGGUGCAGAAAAUUUUCUCCUUAUUACUGUGCCCCACGCAGUUGCUACUUUGCCAAAAGGAGUGUCUGAUUGACAUUCAUUUGUAUUAGCUACCUAUUAAAAUUGUCUCAAUUCUCCAUUAGUAAUCUUAGAAUAACAACAAACUUUUAUUAUUAUUAUAAUCUUCUUUAAUUAUUAUUAUUAUUAUUAUUUUUAUUUUUUUAUUUUUUUGCACCUAAACACAAUUUCAUCCUCUAAUAUCAAGUCUUAGUUCCUCAAAUGGUUACUUCGUUAAAGAGUUAUUGCUUUUUCUAGUUUUUAUCUCAUCUGUUUAAUAUCUCUCUUUUUUUAUAUAUAUAUAUUUUAGACAUAUUUUAAACUAUAAUCUUUUGACAUUUAUUUCUAUUAAACAAUAAUUAGGAGUCUUUUUUUCUUAGCUUUUAAUUUUUCCUUAUUUUUUUGUUAUUAUAUUAUUAUCUUCCUUAUUUAUUUGGCCAGUAUCACUUCAGUUAACCAUUUUCAACCAGUCAAAUUUUCUUUUCUAAUUUUCCUCUCCAUCGACCGAAGACUCCUCAAUUUUAUCCCUUUGCUGUUUAACAGCUGAUUUUAUCCCUUUGCUGUUUAACAGCUGAUUUGCAAUCUUUUAUUUCAGUUCUUCAUCUUUCUUCCAAUGUAUCUCUUCUAAUGUUUCUUUAGUAUCUGGUCUUUAUGUUGUAUUUUAAUUUCUCUUUAUUAUUUAUUAUUAUACUUAUUUAUUUUAUUUAUUUAUUCAUAUAGCUUCAAGGUCUGUUUAAACUAUUAUAACUAUAUUAAGCAUAUCUCCCAUUAUUUUUUAUUUCACUUGUCUUUUUAUCCUGCAAUAUAAUAGAUCCGUUUAAUUAGUAACUUAUACUAAAUCUCUAAUUAUUAUGUGAACAUUUAUCAGUAUUUGAUCAAAUAUAUAUGAUUAUUUUUUUAUAUUUUCUUUUACUAUAUUCAGCCUAACUGUUUUUUCCUCAUGAAAAGGCAUGGCUCCAGUUAUCUUCCUUUUUUCAUGUCUGUCUAAGCCUGUCUGCCUUUACGUUGUCAGCCCCGUAUCUUUCUGUAAAUAAAUCCCCAGUUUUGUGGACCAAUUGCAAAGCUUGUAGACUACUUUGUGGUGAAUUGAAAUUUUCUUUUUGGUCUUUUUCUAUAUGUGUAUGUGUUAGUGUGUCACCUCCUUCUGCAGUGGUCUCCUUCCUGGUUGCCUCCCUCUCUUGGACCCGAGAGACUCAGCUAGUUGUCUUCUCAGUUCUCCUUUUCUUGGUGGUUCUUUUGUUAGUUCCUGUUCAAGACACAACUACACAUAUACUUUUAACCUUCACAUUAACAUUGUUUUCAGGGUGUGGUGUCACUCAUCCUCACACUUCUUUACCAUUUAUCUCAUUCAUACCAACACAUGACCUCGUCAGGUCAGUGCUUUUCCCUACACUGUCCUAAUCCUGGUUCUCUAGAACCUUUUCUUCUAGUCCCUGUUCUACAGUAUAUUUCAUAUUUUCUAUAGUAUGUCAUAUAUAUACAGUAUAUCUCAUAUUUUCUUUAUGUUCCUCAAAUUGUAAUAUUAACUUUUUCUCUCAUUUAUUUUUCCUUUAACACUCCCUCUCAUAUUCUUCUUCCACGAUGUAAGUGCUGUUAUUAAGCAUUUUUGCAUAAUCGCAUAUUUAUUAUACAUAUUUGUUUCAUAUUUCAUCCUUUAGUAAUUUAAGGUCAUAAUAUUUUGUAUUAAUUUAGCUGAGGUGUAUUUAUAAAUGUAAACGUGUUGAAAGGUUCAAAUGUGUUAUUAUUUCAUAUGUUGUACUUUAAGACGUUUAUUAUGGAAACGUGUCACUUUGAGGAAAUGACGUGUAAUGUGAGUGACUUGUUUAUGGAUCCCCGGAUAGACUGACGAUGAUCAGACGCAUGUCAGUGCUGUGUAAAGUUACAUGUGUUUAAGAAGCAUAAAGUUGCUGCUGUCAUAAUUCAAAGGACAGUGAAGAAGACUUUAUUAAUCCAAGGACCCUCUUUUCAUGACAAGCGACCAACGAGGUAUUUGUUUUGCUUAAUAAUGUAUUAGAUAAUCGUAGUUUGUAUAAUUGCUUAUACGUUUGUACUGUGUUCAUUUACUAAUACAGUUCUCACGGCGUCACGGCAACAGCCGCAAAGAACAUUAUGGACGACCUUAAAUAAACGCCCGUUCUGGAGAAACAACCUGUGUCUGUGUUGUUGUGAAGAGAGUUACAGUGAGAACUCGACGCAGAUCGACGCGGGUAUGAAAGCAACGUCCUCGCGGGUAACGUCGAGACAACGUCCAGCUGAAGAUAAGGAGGGCUCAAGUUACAGUGCCGAAGUAACACGCAGUUACACACAGUGAUGAUUAGACUGAGUUGAAAGUGCAACGUUUCAGACUGAAAUCAGAAAGUACUCUGCCACAGUUAAGGUGGUCAGAGAAGUGAUUGAACUUGAAAGUGCAGUAAGGACUCAAAUCUAAUUGUGUUGCUCAGCCUUCAGUUUUGGGACAAAUUUAAUGUGCUGAUAUUUAUCUGGUAUUAUUUAAGAGUGCAUUUAAGUUAUUGAUAAGUUCAUUAGUUACUGAAAUUGAAAUCGACUGAUUUAUUUGUUCAAUAUUACUGAUGUAAAAGUGGUUUGUGAAAGGAUUAGUCAGUAAAUUUAACUUGAGUUUAUUUUUGGAAUAUUUUAGGUUUAUACUGCAUCUAUAUAGUCAACUAAUUGCUGAUUAUUUCUUUAACAAGGGAAUUUGUUACAUGAUAAUACUUUAAUUCAAUAUUGACAUACAUACUUUAUAUUUUAUUUCUUAUGUAGUUUAACAGGCGUUAAGGAUUUUAUACAGUAAACAUUUACAUUUUACAUUGAGCUACAUUUACACAGUCUAAGUUCACUAAUUUUGUUUACAUACACCAUACAUAUACAGUAAUAUUAAUAUUUAUAUCAAAAUGUCUGAUACACAAACAGAGACUUGCCGUAAAGGGGAAAUAUCACCUGCACAACCUGAAGCUACAGAGCUGCGAAGAAGUGAAAGAGCUAGAACUCUUACAGAAAAGGGAAAAGAGCUUCAAGAAGCUAAGUUAAAGGGUUUAAAGCGACAGUAUAGAAUAGUUUAUGAGAAGUGGAGAUAUUAUGCAAGAUUAAGUAAGGAAAUAUUCUCGGAUGAAGCUUCUCAAGAAGAAUUGAAUGAGCUUAUUCACAAUAUUGAAAGCAGCUGUUCUAAUGUGAAAGCCAUAUAUGAAGAACUACGUCAAGUUCAAAUUCCUGAACAAGACCUACGACUCAGGAUUGAUGUGUGCAUAUCGCUUUCAGGAUUCAUUGUUAAAAGAGCACAAAUGCAUCUUGAAGGGCAUGCAUCAGAUGAAAUUGAAGAACCCUGGCCUGAUGUUGGAUCAGUCUUAGACUCAACAAGCUCUUUAUCAAGACCACUGUCUCAUCAAACUAAAUGCAGUUCAACCCAUUCUAGCAUCCACUCAGGCAAAAGAAAUGAAGCUGUAGCUGAAGCAGCUGCAUGUCAGGAAGUCUUGGCGGUGUUGGAAGAGCAAGACAGGGAAGUAUCUGAACUUCAAAGGUUAGAGGCAGAAAGUAAACUACGUAUGGCACAAUUUGAAUCUGAGGAUCUGGCCAGGAAACAAGCAAUGCAAGAUAAACGCAGAAAUCUUGAGCGCCUGGAGGAAAUAAAGAAGUUGAAUGCUGCAAGAGCACGAGUUAGGGUCUAUGAUCAAGCGGAAGGAGACAUUGAAGCAGCUGAAUUGAAGCAAGAUGCUCUAUCAGUCAUUGAUAACAAAGUUCCUGAUUUCAUAAGCUCUUCCUUUGUUCAUAAGUCUCUGCCAGCGCCAACGCAGGUGCUACAUGCAUCAAGUCCUUCAUUUAUUCCAAAGUCUCAGCCAGUUGUACACCAAGAUCAAAAUCAUCUCUCACAACGCACACCUCAAGGUUCACUAUAUUCACCAUUAAUGGCCCAAGCACAAAAUGGUUCUGACCUGGUCAGCACAUUAGCAGAAGUUAUGAGUGCCAAUCGUCUUCCUAUUUCAGAGCCUGCAUUGUUUACUGGAGAUCCAUUAAAAUUCAAGGAUUGGCGUCUUUCUUUUGAGACAUUGAUUGACAGGAAAAACAUCCCAAAAAAUGAGAAGCUGUAUUAUUUAAGAAAAUACUUAGGUGGCGCUGCAAAGAAAACUGUAGAAGGUUUUUUCUUACUUGGCACUGAAGAAGCAUAUGAUUCUGCUUGGCAGCUGUUAGAAAAACGCUUUGGUGACCCAUUUAUAAUUGGGAAGUCAUUCAGAGAUAAGCUGCAUGGAUGGCCAAAGAUAAGCUCUAAAGAUGGUUGUGAACUAAGAGAAUUCACUGACUUCCUCAAGAGUUGUGAAGCUGCGAUGCCUCAUCUGAAGACUUUGGAGGUUCUAAAUGACUGUAACGAAAAUCAAAGGAUUCUACUAAAAUUGCCAGAUUGGUUAGUGUCUAGAUGGAACCGUAAGGUGAUGGAAUUCAGACAGGUAUAUGGAGAUUACCCAAAAUUCAAGGAGUUUGUAGACUUCUUGUCAAAUGAGUCGGAUCUCGCCUGCGAUCCUAUUUCUUCGGUACAGGCACUUAGGAGUGUGGAAGCUACAAAACCGAAAUACUCACGAAACCAGCCUUCUCAAGCAAAAACAUUUUACACAAACACAACUCAGAGUACUUUCCCAGCAUGUGUAUUUUGUAAAAGAACAGGACAUGGCUUAGCAAAGUGCAGAAGGUUCAUAGAGAAGGAUGUUCAGGAUCGUGUCAAGUUUGUUCGCACAGAAAAACUUUGUUUUGGUUGUUUGCAAACUGGUCAUCAUUCAAGAAGAUGUGAAAAUAAGAGCACAUGUGAAAGGUGUCAGAAGAGACAUCCUACAUGUUUGCAUGAUGACAAGUUCAAAGAAUAUCAAAGGUCUGUUGUGAAGGAAAGUGGCGAUUCAAAGGAAAAGGCUGAUGGAACGGAGAUAGUUGCCGUUGCAAUUACCAAUACAGUUAGGCAGGAAGGCCCAAACACACAAACAUCCACGAUCAUACCAGUUUGGGUAUCAUCCACAAAACUGCCCGAUCAAGAAAUCCUUGUCUAUGCACUUUUAGACACGCAGAGUGACACCACUUUCAUCUUGGAUGAAGUAGCUCAAAGGCUUAAAGUGAACAUGGAGAACGCUAGUUUGCAGUUAUCCACGAUGUCCUCAAGGUCAACGACCAUACGUUGUCAUAAGGUUUCUGGUCUGCAGGUGAGAGGGCAUAAUUCUGAGAAAAUUAUACAUCUGCCAGCAGUUUUCACACGUGAAUUCAUUCCAGUGAACAGGUCACAUAUACCUACGUCUGACACUGCUUUAAAAUGGCCUCAUCUGGAGCAGUUGGCAAAUAAGAUUCCACCAGCACUGGACUGUGAAGUUGGACUUUUGAUUGGCUACAACUGUCAGCAAGCACUUCUGCCUAAGGAAAUCUUAUUUGGAGAAGAAAAUCAUCCAUAUCCACAACGAACCGAUCUCGGCUGGAGCAUAGUUGGAUGCUCAUAUCCAGCAGAUGACUAUGGUGAUGCGAUUGGAGUCAGUCAUAGAACUUUAGUUUGCCCAGUGAUGCCUACAGUGAAGCCAUCAGUUGAGCUAAAGCAAGAGGUGCAUUUUGUAUGUCGAAAUGUAGUCAAGGAAGUACUUCCCACAGACAUAAUUAAGGCACUCGAGUUAGACUUCACAGAUCAUAGUGCUGAUGACAAUCCAGUUUCUCAAGAAGAUAUUCUCUUUUUGUCUAAAGUAAAAGAAGGUGUGAAACACAAAGAGGAUGGACACCUUGAACUCCCACUUCCUUUCAAGACAGAAAAUCCUAGUUUACCAGAUAAUAAACAAUCUGCAAUUCAUAGACUUAUCUCAUUAAAACGUCGACUGAGGAGAGACAAACAGUAUUAUGAAGAUUACGUACACUUCAUGAGUGACAUCAUAAGCCGAGGAGAUGCUGAAAGAGUUCCAAGUUCUGAGCUUGAUAACAAAUCAGCAUGGUACAUUCCGCACCAUGGAGUCUACCACCCCCACAAACCAGGGAAGAUUCGUGUGGUGUUUGAUUGUUCAGCGCGCUUCCAAGAGGCCUCUCUAAACGAUCACCUCUUGACUGGUCCAGACCUCACCAACACCUUAGUUGGAGUGCUGUGUCGAUUUAGAAAGGGUCCAAUAGCCAUUAUGUGUGACAUUGAAAGAAUGUUCCAUCAAUUUCAUGUUACAAAGGAACAUCAAGACUAUUUGAGAUUUCUUUGGUGGGACAAUGGCAAUCUGGAUUCCAAGCCUUCUGUGUACAGAAUGAGAGUACACCUUUUCGGUGCCGCUUCAUCCCCUGGCUGCUCAAACUUUGGACUCAAGUACUUAGCAUCGCAAGGUCAUGGAAGCUUUAGUGAAGAGGCUAUCAAGUUUAUCCAGAGGAGUUUUUAUGUCGACGAUGGCUUAACAAGUGUAAGUACAUCUGCAGAAGCUAUACAUCUUGUGGAUGAAGCAAGAGCUUUGUGUAAAACAGGAAAUCUUCGUCUGCACAAGUUUGUUUCCAAUGAUAUGGAAGUGAUAGCCACAAUACCACCUGAGGACUGUGCUCAGGCCAGAGAUCUGGAUAUGGCUUUGGGAGAGCUUCAUAUAGAACGUGCACUUGGAGUUCAAUGGUGCAUUGAAGCAGAUGAAUUCCAAUUUAGAGUGAUAGUCAAGAAAAAUCCAAUGACUAGAAGAGGUGUUCUUUCAACAGUAGCCUCUGUCUACGAUCCGUUAGGGUUUGUAGCACCUUUUUUACUAGUAGGCAAGCAGAUUCUUCAAGUAUUGUGCAAAGAUAAAGUAAGCUGGGAUGAAGAUCUGCCUGAGCAUAUUCUACCACAAUGGGAGUCAUGGCUUCGAGAUUUGCCCCAUUUGGCUGACUUAAAGAUUCCUAGAAGCUACCUUUCAUCAAAUUUUGACAGGCCUGUUUCUUAUGAGCUACACAGCUUUUCUGAUGCAAGUCUUAGUGGAUAUGGUGCCUGUUCAUAUCUUAGAGCAACAAGUGAAACAGGACAAAUCAGUUGCUCACUUGUUAUUGGGAAAGCCAGAGUAACCCCCACCAAGCAAACAACUAUCCCGAGACUUGAACUAUCAGCAGCUGUGACUUCAGUCCGAAAUGGAAACAUUGUCAAAAGAGAGCUUGAGAUUGAAGAUUUGCAAGAAUAUUACUGGACUGACUCAAGGGUAGUUCUUGGCUAUGUGAACAAUGAUGCCAAAAGAUUCCACACAUUCGUAGCAAAUCGGAUUCAACGCAUAAGGUCCAGCACAUGUCCAGCACAAUGGCGACAUGUCAGUUCAGAAAACAACCCUGCUGAUUAUGCCUCAAGAGGGCUGAGUGCUGCUCAGCUAAAAGAGUCCAAUUGGUUAAAAGGACCUGACUUUCUGUGGCAGAAAAUCCUUCUGUGUGAAGAGGAAGUGGUGAGGGAUCUGGAAAUUACUGACCCUGAGCUCCGCAAGACCAACAUUCAUACCAUCAGGACUAAAGAGAUCGAUUUAAUGGUUACUCGAUUUGCAAAAUUUUCAGACUGGUCAAGUUUGGUGAGAGCAGUCGCCAGGCUUAAAAGGUUUGUCAGAGAAUUCAAGGGAAUUCAACCAAGAAGGAAUGGAAUGACUAGUCUUGAAGAAAGAAAGGCAGCAGAAAAUGUCAUAAUUAAAAUUGUACAAGAUGAUGCCUUCGCCGAAGACAUUCGACAUAUCAAACUUCAGAAAGAAAAUUAUCUAAACAAACACAGCAAUUUGCAUCGAUUGAGUCCUUUCUUGGACAAGGAAGGUCUUCUCAGGGUGGGAGGAAGGCUAACAAGAUCAAGCCUAGAUUAUGAUGUAAAGCAUCCUGCGUUACUUCCAAAAAGGUCUCAUAUAUCUGCCUUACUCGUCAAACAUCACCAUGAGCGCAUAUACCACCAAGGAAGGGGCAUGACAAUGAAUGAGAUACGUGCGAAUGGAAUAUGGAUCUUAGGAUGUGGAAGUGUGGUCUCGUCAUAUAUCUACAAAUGUGUAAAAUGUAGAAGAUACAGAGGAACUACAGAGAUUCAAAAAAUGGCAGAUUUGCCAGAAGAAAGAACUGAGACAUCUCCCCCCUUUACAUGCUGUGGAAUAGAUUGUUUUGGCCCUUUCAUAGUAAAGGAAGGAAGGAAGGAACUAAAACGGUAUGGAUUGCUGUUUACUUGUUUGUGCUCUAGAGCAGUGCACAUAGAGACUCUAGAUGAUUUGACGACAGAUGCCUUCAUCAACGCUCUUAGGGUGUUCGUAGCUAUUAGGGGACCUGUGCGACAAAUAAGAUGCGAUCAGGGAACAAAUUUCAUGGGUGCCAGAAGAGAGUUUUCUGAUCUGCUCAGAGGGAUGGAUCAAGAACGUGUUCGAGCUAUUGGUUGUGAAUUUGUAGUAAAUGUUCCCUCAGCGAGUCAUAUGGGCGGAGUGUGGGAGCGCCAGAUACGGACAAUACGAAGCAUCUUGAAUGCCAUGCUCGAUGGAUCUGCUUGCAGACUUGACUCAACGACUCUUAGAACAUUCCUCUAUGAGACAAUGGCCAUAAUCAACAGCAGGCCAUUAAGUGUUGAACAUCUUCACGAUCCUACUGGUCCAGAACCCCUCACUCCCAACCACAUACUAACUAUGAAGUCUUCAGUCAUUGUACCACCACCAGGAAACUUUGAUAAGCAAGACCUCUAUCUGCGUAAAAGAUGGAAAAGAGUGCAGUUCCUCGCAAAUGAAUUCUGGCAGAGAUGGAAACGAGAAUAUUUGCUAAAUCUCCAGCUACGUCAGAAAUGGCAGAGAACAUCAAGAAAUUCACAAGUAAAUGACAUUGUGAUACUUCAAGAUGAGAGUGCUCAGAGAAAUGAGUGGAAGCUUGCUAGAGUAGUGGAAACAUACUCAAGUGCUGAUGGCAUUGUAAGAAAGUUGAAGUUACUACUUAGUGACACUACAUUGGUCAAAGGGAAGCCACAAUCUAGAUUAGUGUAUUUAGAAAGGCCAGUUCAUAAGGUAGUCACUUUAAUUGAAGCCAGUUAAGUCAGGCACAUGACACAAUUACACUCUGAAACUUGAUUUAACUUCAAUAAUUGUUUAUAGAAAAUCUCACAUUUCAAGUAAAGGAGAUUUUGGUGGGAGUGUAAGUGCUGUUAUUAAGCAUUUUUGCAUAAUCGCAUAUUUAUUAUACAUAUUUGUUUCAUAUUUCAUCCUUUAGUAAUUUAAGGUCAUAAUAUUUUGUAUUAAUUUAGCUGAGGUGUAUUUAUAAAUGUAAACGUGUUGAAAGGUUCAAAUGUGUUAUUAUUUCAUAUGUUGUACUUUAAGACGUUUAUUAUGGAAACGUGUCACUUUGAGGAAAUGACGUGUAAUGUGAGUGACUUGUUUAUGGAUCCCCGGAUAGACUGACGAUGAUCAGACGCAUGUCAGUGCUGUGUAAAGUUACAUGUGUUUAAGAAGCAUAAAGUUGCUGCUGUCAUAAUUCAAAGGACAGUGAAGAAGACUUUAUUAAUCCAAGGACCCUCUUUUCAUGACAAGCGACCAACGAGUUCUCACGGCGUCACGGCGUCACGGCAACAGCCGCAAAGAACAUUAUGGACGACCUUAAAUAAACGCCCGUUCUGGAGAAACAACCUGUGUCUGUGUUGUUGUGAAGAGAGUUACACACGACGUCUUUCCUGUAUUCGCGCGUUAGAUGUUUUGAGCUCUGUUCCCUAAUCUGACCCUCAGUAUACGGCGUCACCCACGCCCGGGGCUACCUAAGCUGUCCCUACGUCUUUUCAGAAUUUUUUUAUUAUUAUUUUUUUUUUAUUUUUAUUUAAUUUUUUUAUUAUUUAUUUUUUGUUCCCUACUCUAUCCGUUCCUGAUACUGCAAUCAGUCUUUCUCAGGAAAUUAUUUUUUCUUCUCAAUUUUUAUUUUGAAAGUAUCUGGUUCUCGUCAGAACAAGAGUGACUCUCAAAAAUGCCUCCCCAGGGAGGGGGACUUCCUUACAAAGACAUGACUUUCUGUCUUUGUCCCUGGUAUUAAAAGCUUUCUACCUUCGUCAAGAGUAGGG
This is a non-coding RNA of Danio rerio (zebrafish), 10211 nucleotides long. The record is from RefSeq and is a predicted model, not a curated record. NCBI's taxonomy places the organism in Eukaryota, Metazoa, Chordata, Actinopteri, Cypriniformes, Danionidae.